Molecule: long non-coding RNA, 502 nt
Filed under: Coturnix japonica (Japanese quail)
Lineage: Eukaryota; Metazoa; Chordata; Aves; Galliformes; Phasianidae
Description: lncRNA (ENSCJPG00005020014.1)
Source: RNAcentral
CACCCUCAGAUUACUUCCAGCAACAGGACGGAGGAGCAGGUUUUAGGGUUAGCUCUACAGUGUCUUAGAAGAACGAGCUGCUGCAGGAUGAAGAAAAGGGGCCUAAAGCGCUCGAAGCGGAGAAGGUAGCUGUGCCAGAAAAGGUGGCAAGUGUGACCUGCUGAAAAGGAGCCUACUCUGCAGCAAGGAGGUGAACUUGCAUACCUGCAUGGAGAGCACAGCUCAAUACUCUUCAUUCCCUUGGAGAUUUCCAAACUGUAAAGAGCAUGUCAGAGAUUGUACAGUGAUUCAUCAAGGGAAAGGAAUGGAUGCAAAAUCCACACAGAAAAUAGCUUAAUGUCUGUCAGCUGACUCCUUCCUUUCAGGAACAUCUUUAAGGAUCCAGUUCUCAUACAGGUAUGGUCUGUGCUUCUUAAAUGCACUGAUUUGUGUGAUUGCGUACCGGAAAUUCUGUAAACUUGAAAAUGAUCUAGCAAAGAAACACAAAAUGAAAACAUUCUUG